AUGACAAACAUAAUUGUUGAAACAGACUGCGAGACGCUGGUGCAUGCAAUGCAGGAAACUGACUUUGAUCUAGCACCUGAAGGAGUUAUCUUCAGAGACCUGCGCCUUUAUGCUCUUCUGCAGUUUAACUCUGUUAGCUUUUCUUUUGCCCCAAGGGGCUGUAAUUUUUUGGCCCAUGUACUUGCUGUUGUGGGUGCUCAUGGACAAUCUCCAAAACAGUUGUGGUCUGAGGAGUUGCCCGAUGAUGUAACUGUCAGAACAGCCAGCGUUUCUGCUGAGCCAGUGGGUUAA
Molecule: ribosomal RNA, 291 nt
Filed under: Triticum aestivum (bread wheat)
Lineage: Eukaryota; Viridiplantae; Streptophyta; Magnoliopsida; Poales; Poaceae
Description: partial small subunit ribosomal RNA
Source: RNAcentral